CUGCAACUCGCCUGCAUGAAGCUGGAAUUGCUAGUAAUCGCGGAUCAGCAUGCCGCGGUGAAUACGUUCCCGGGCCUUGUACACACCGCCCGUCACACCAUGAGAGUCGGGAACACCCGAAGUCCGUAGUCUAACCCGCAAGGGAGGGCGCGGCCGAAGGUGGGUCCGGUAAUUGGGGUGAAGUCGUAACAAGGUAGC
Molecule: ribosomal RNA, 198 nt
Filed under: uncultured bacterium
Lineage: Bacteria
Description: partial 16S ribosomal RNA
Rfam family: Bacterial small subunit ribosomal RNA
Source: RNAcentral